Molecule: long non-coding RNA, 628 nt
Filed under: Marmota monax (woodchuck)
Lineage: Eukaryota; Metazoa; Chordata; Mammalia; Rodentia; Sciuridae
Source: RNAcentral
AGAUACUUCUCAGAAGAAGAUAUACAAUUGAUCAACAAAUAUAUGAAAAAAUGUUCAAUUUCUCUAGUAAUUAGAGAUAUACAAAUCAAAACUACUCUAAGAUUUUAUCCCAUGCCAGUCAGAAUGGCAAUUAUCAAGAAUACAAGCAAUAAUAAUUGUUGGUGAGGAUGUGGGGAAAAGGUUCACUCAUACAUUGCUGGUGGGGACUGCAAAUUGGUGCAACCACUCUGGAAAGCAGUAUGGAGAUUCCUUAGAAAACUUGGAAUGGAACCACCAUUUAUGCCACUCCACAGUUUAUACCCAAAUAACUGAAAAAUAGCAUACUACAGUGACACAGCCACGUCAAUGUUCAUAGCAGUUCAAUUUACAAUAGCUAAACUGUGGAACCAACCUAGAUGGCCUUCAACGGAUGAAUGGAUAAAGAAACUGUGGUAUAUAUACACAAUGGAAUAUUACUCAGCAUUAAAAGAGAAUGAAAUUAUGGCAUUUUCAGGUAAAUGGAUGGAGUUGGGAGAAUAUCAUGGUAAGUGAAGUAAGCCAAUCCCCAAAAAAACCAAAAGCCGAAUGUUCUCUCUGCUAAGUGGAUGCUGGUCCAUAAUGAGGCGGGGAGCAUGGUGAGAAUGGAGGA